This 1045-nucleotide ribosomal RNA is filed under the name unidentified rumen bacterium JW6. RNAcentral's name for it is "bacterial SSU rRNA". It matches the Rfam family "Bacterial small subunit ribosomal RNA", at positions 8 to 1061 of the family's 1533-position model. Lineage: Bacteria; Bacillati; Bacillota. The record is from RNAcentral.
AGAGUUUGAUCCUGGCUCAGGAUGAACGCUGGCGGCGUGCCUAAUACAUGCAAGUCGAACGCACAUUUUCGGAUGUGAGUGGCGAACGGGUGAGUAACACGUAGGUAACCUGCCCAUAAGACGAGGAUAACUACUGGAAACGGUAGCUAAUACUGGAUAGGAUAUUGGAUCGCAUGAUUUAAUAUUUAAAGGUGCUUCAAAGCAUCACUUGUGGAUGGACCUGCGGCGCAUUAGCUAGUUGGUGAGAUAAAAGCCCACCAAGGCGACGAUGCGUAGCCGGACUGAGAGGUUGAACGGCCACAUUGGGACUGAGACACGGCCCAGACUCCUACGGGAGGCAGCAGUAGGGAAUUUUCGGCAAUGGACGCAAGUCUGACCGAGCAACGCCGCGUGAGUGAUGAAGUUCUUCGGAACGUAAAAUUCUUUUAUUUGGAAAAAACGUAUAGUGUAGGAAAUGACAUUAUAGUGAUGGUACCAAAUGAAUAAGCCCCGGCUAACUAUGUGCCAGCAGCCGCGGUAAUACAUAGGGGGCGAGCGUUAUCCGGAUUUAUUGGGCGUAAAGGGUGCGUAGGCGGUAAAUUAAGUCUAAGGUUAAAGUGCAGGGCUCAACCCUGUGAUGCCUUAGAAACUGGUUUACUUGAGUUUGGUAGAGGUAAGUGGAACUCCAUGUGUAGCGGUAAAAUGCGUAAAUAUAUGGAAGAACACCAGUGGCGAAGGCGGCUUACUGGGCCACAACUGACGCUGAGGCACGAAAGCGUGGGGAGCAAACAGGAUUAGAUACCCUGGUAGUCCACGCUGUAAACGAUGAAUACUAAGUGUUGGAAAAAUCCAGUGCUGAAGUUAACGCAUUAAGUAUUCCGCCUGAGUAGUACGUACGCAAGUAUGAAACUCAAAGGAAUUGACGGGACCCCGCACAAGCGGUGGAGCAUGUUGUUUAAUUCGAAGAUACGCGAAGAACCUUACCAGGUCUUGACAUCCGUUGCAAAGCUAUAGAGAUAUAGUGGAGGUUAACAGCGAGACAGGUGGUGCAUGSCGUCGUCAGCUC